RNAcentral lists this ribosomal RNA (433 nucleotides) under uncultured bacterium. RNAcentral's name for it is "partial 16S ribosomal RNA". It matches the Rfam family "Bacterial small subunit ribosomal RNA", at positions 29 to 507 of the family's 1533-position model. The record is from RNAcentral.
AACGAACGCUGGCGGCAUGCCUAACACAUGCAAGUCGAACGAGACCUUCGGGUCUAGUGGCGCACGGGUGCGUAACGCGUGGGAACCUGCCUUUAGGUUCGGAAUAACUCAGAGAAAUUUGAGCUAAUACCGGAUGAUGUCUUCGGACCAAAGAUUUAUCGCCUUUAGAUGGGCCCGCGUUGGAUUAGCUAGUUGGUGGGGUAAAGGCCUACCAAGGCGACGAUCCAUAGCUGGUCUGAGAGGAUGAUCAGCCACACUGGGACUGAGACACGGCCCAGAAUCCUACGGGAGGCAGCAGUGGGGAAUAUUGGACAAUGGGCGAAAGCCUGAUCCAGCAAUGCCGCGUGAGUGAUGAAGGCCGUAGGGUUGUAAAGCUCUUUUACCCGAGAUGAUAAUGACAGUAUCGGGAGAAUAAGCUCCGGCUAACUCCGUG